RNAcentral lists this ribosomal RNA (506 nucleotides) under uncultured bacterium. Its description in RNAcentral is "SSU rRNA". It matches the Rfam family "Bacterial small subunit ribosomal RNA", at positions 26 to 518 of the family's 1533-position model. The record is from RNAcentral.
AGGAUAAACGCUGGCGGCGUGCUUUACCAAUGCGAGUCGGACGCGCCAUUCUACGGGGUGGCGAGUGGCGGCCGGGUGCGUAACACGUGGGUGACCUACCCAGGCGUGGGGGAUACCCGCCCGAAAGGGUGGCUAAUACCGCAUGGGCUCUCGUCUCGAGUGGCGAGAGCAAAGCGGCGCUCCGAGGAGGGGCGUGGCGCGUUUGGAGGGGCCCGCGGCCUAUCAGCUAGUCGGUGGGGUAACGGCCUACCGAGGCGGUGACGGGUAGCCGGUCUGAGAGGACGGACGGCCACACUGGGACUGAAAUAUGGUCCAGAGCCCUACGGGGUUUAGCAUGGAGGAAUCUUGCGCAACGGGGGCAACCCCGGCGCAGCAACGCCGCGUGGGGGAGGAAGGCCUUCGGGUCGUAAACCCCUGUUGUCCGGGAAGAAGUACUCCGGGGGAGAGCCUCGGGGGAAGACGGUACCGGACGAGGAAGCCCCGGCUAACUACGUGCCAGCAGCCGC